RNAcentral lists this long non-coding RNA (664 nucleotides) under Olea europaea subsp. europaea. Lineage: Eukaryota; Viridiplantae; Streptophyta; Magnoliopsida; Lamiales; Oleaceae. The record is from RNAcentral.
UCUCGACUUUCAUUGACAGUGAAUUACCUACAAAUCCAUCAUCUAAUUUGGAGUGAUCAGAAGAUAUAUUGGAAUAUGAGAACCCAACUCCAAUAGGAGAUUCCAGAAAAAGCAAAUUGGCUUCUGCAAGAUAAUUAAAUCCUUGAAUACCAGUCUAAUUACAAUCAGUUAAGACCUCUAAAUAUUAAGCUUCGUUUCUUGCUCUGCUUAUAAUCCUUUUUUUUCCUCUUUUACUUAUUUCUACUCAUUUUACUGUUCAGUGUUAACUAAAAGUCUAAAAAUAUUAGAAUAAAUUGCUCCUCGACAGAAACCACCGACGAUUAACAGUUGAUCAAAUACUUCAAUAGAAACACCAAUAUGGUCACAUACAGGUAGGGCAUUGAACCAGUAAAGUAUACAACAUAUAGACAGGUAAGGCAUCGAAAUUCAAGUAGAAAUCUGCCAAAAAUACCAAUUUGGAGAUAUAUAUUUGCACAUAAUUUGAGGGAAAAAAACUGAAAUUUACAAAGAAAAUCACAAAAUUUAAACGUAAAUCUUCUUCUUCCAUCUAAUAACAACAUGAAAUUUGAAGCUUUUGGAUUUUUGGGAGUGAAAUUGUCGGUUGCGAAGGACGGCUGCUGCGCUUCUCUUCUUAGGGCUCUAAAUUCUGAAUCUUAGAUUUCUG